This 263-nucleotide unclassified non-coding RNA is filed under the name plant metagenome. RNAcentral describes it as "partial contains small subunit ribosomal RNA, internal transcribed spacer 1, and 5.8S ribosomal RNA". The record is from RNAcentral.
UUUCCGUAGGUGAACCUGCGGAAGGAUCAUUAUUGUAUAACCGAGGUGCGAGGCCUGUCGUGAACCCGAGAGGACGUGCACGCCCGCCUGCCCUCACACACACCCAUGUCACCCUUGUGUGCACCACCGGCUGGGUCCCCCUUUGGCUUGUUCGGAGGGGGGCUUACGUUUGCACACAAACUUUGUAUGCAGUGUAGAAUGUAUUUUUUGUUUUUGUGCUAACGCAAUAAAUACAACUUUCAACAACGGAUCUCUUGGCUCUG